This 531-nucleotide ribosomal RNA is filed under the name uncultured Cytophagales bacterium. RNAcentral describes it as "bacterial SSU rRNA". It matches the Rfam family "Bacterial small subunit ribosomal RNA", at positions 534 to 1071 of the family's 1533-position model. Lineage: Bacteria; Pseudomonadati; Bacteroidota; Sphingobacteriia; Sphingobacteriales. The record is from RNAcentral.
GUCGCCGGUAAUCGGGAUCAUUGGGUUUAAGGGUGCGCAGGCGGGCGUAUAAGUCAGGGGUGAAAUACUACGGCUCAACCGUGGAACUGCCUUUGAUACUGUAUGUCUUGAGUUUAAUUGAAGUGGGCGGAAUGUAGCAUGUAGCGGUGAAAUGCAUAGAGAUGCUACAGAACACCGAUAGCGAAGGCAGCUCACUAAGUUACAACUGACGCUCAUGCACGAAAGCGUGGGGAUCAAACAGGAUUAGAUACCCUGGUAGUCCACGCUGUGAACGAUGAUCACUCGUUGUUGGCGAUACACAGUCAGCGGCUAAGCGAAAGUGAUAAGUGAUCCACCUGGGGAGUACGAUCGCAAGGUUGAAACUCAAAGGAAUUGACGGGGGCCCGCACAAGCGGUGGAGCAUGUGGUUUAAUUCGAUGAUACGCGAGGAACCUUACCUGGGCUCAAACGUAGUAUGACGUAUGGUGAAAGCUAUAUUUCUUCGGACAUAUUACGAGGUGCUGCAUGGUUGUCGUCAGCUCGUGCCGUGAG